CCAGGGCGUGCUCGUCUGUGGCCACGUGACUGGUGUGCAGCAGGUCGUGGGCAAGGAGGGGCCCCUCGUCGCCCGCUCCCGCCUCUCCCGCUGUGCUGGCCUUGGCCUCACAGCCACGCAGCCGUCUCCUGGAUCACCUGGUGAGCUGCCCAGUCCCCAGAUGGUGGAACCAAAGACCCGCACGAUGUGUGGCCGCAGAAUAGAUCAGUGUCUCCGAUUUCAUACCGGGAAGCUGCGUGCUGCCUCUGAGCCGGGCCCGUCUCACUCUCAUCAGUAAACUCAACAAAAACAGAGACCAGGGGAAGGAAAACACCGAGUCAUGGAAAGAGCAGGAAAAGGAUGCUCUCUCUCUAUAGCCAGAGAAAGAUGUGGAACCAAGGUGAAGUUCUCCAGGGACAUCAUGGGGAAGUCCUUUCCAAAUAUCUCACCUCCCGCCAAGAGGAGGAGAAGAGGAAAGCAAGGUCACGGCGGAAAGAUCUACUUGGAAGUGUUUGUAAAGAAUUCCUUCCUCUAAAGCUUCUGCUCAUGGUGGAUGGAGGCCGCCACGUUUGCCCAGGGACACGGACUCUUCGGCCCACCUGACGGGCUCAGAGGCGGGCACCACCCUUAAAAUGCAUCAUGGCGAGUGCUUUCCUUGGAAUCUCUAAUUGGACUAUGGAGGAAUUGAGCUGUGGGAGAACAGACUUGCAAGAUUUUGUGGAGUGAUGGACCCUUCCAUCGGAACAUGGGAACAGAAGUCACGCAGAAUGCCGAGGCCCCAGCACCGCCCUGAACUCAAAACUAACUCUCUGGCUCUAGCUCCUGUGACUCGUGACUGGGAACUUGACCUACAUGGCCUCAAGAGCCUCUGUUGGGCUUGCCAUAAACUCUUCUUACUCAAGUUCAUUUAGGUGUGCUUCUGGUUUUUACAACCCAAAGGACCACAACUAUUACGGAUAGCUGCCUUUGGAAUAUAUUUAUUUUAGGGUAUAGAGGUCAGCAACCUAGACUCAGCAGUCAGACUUCUCAGGUUCAAAUCCCACUUCACUCCUUAUUAGCCAUAAGACCUUUGGCAAAUUGCUUUAUUUCUUUAUGCCUCAAUUUCUUGAUUCAAUUAUGCAUGGCACAUAGUUGAUACUAUAUACAUGUGUUUAAGAUUAUUAUUGCUCUUUCUGUGCUUUGUGGUUUUUUUCUGUGUUAUGCUUUAUGGAAAAAAAAAACCACUGUGCUUCUGAUCACAGAACACAAAGCAAUUAGUAAUAAUAAAAUAAUAAUAAUGACUACUAUUUAUUGACAGCUCAGUCUAAGGCAGAGAUUGUUUAAUUUUAUGCAAAUUAGUUCAUUUUUACUCCCAAUGACCCUGUGAGAUAGACGAUAUUAUCUCCAUGUUUCAAAUGAGGAAUUGAGGUGUAGGGAAAGGAAAGAAGUUGUCCAUGGUCACCAACAAGACCAAGUCAGGACUCACAACUGGGUCCGGUUCUGAAAUCUGUGUUCCUUCCCCGGCCCCCAAAUCUCCAGGUACUUGCUGUGUGUGAAGUCGGCUGGGAAAAAUUGGCUAGGAUCUUUUUAUUUCCUCCCGAGAUGUGCCCUAUAUUUCUCAAAUGUCUUGCAUUU
Molecule: long non-coding RNA, 1593 nt
Organism: Felis catus (domestic cat)
Lineage: Eukaryota; Metazoa; Chordata; Mammalia; Carnivora; Felidae
Exons: 4
Source: RefSeq, a predicted model, not a curated record